AUUGAACGCUGGCGGCAUGCUUUACACAUGCAAGUCGAACGGUAACAGGGUGCUUGCACCGCUGACGAGUGGCGAACGGGUGAGUAAUGCGUCGGAACGUGCCGAGUAGUGGGGGAUAACGCAGCGAAAGUUGUGCUAAUACCGCAUACGUACUGAGGUAGAAAGUGGGGGACCUUCGGGCCUCACGCUAUUCGAGCGGCCGACGUCUGAUUAGCUAGUAGGUGAGGUAAAGGCUCACCUAGGCGAUGAUCAGUAGCGGGUCUGAGAGGAUGAUCCGCCACACUGGGACUGAGACACGGGCCAGACUCCUACGGGAGGCAGCAGUGGGGGAUUUUGGACAAUGGGCGAAAGCCUGAUCCAGCCAUGCCGCGUGUCUGAAGAAGGCCUUCGGGUUGUAAAGGACUUUUGUCAGGGAGGAAAUCCCUAGUGCUAAUAACACUGGGGGAUGACAGUACCUGAAGAAUAAGCACCGGCUAACUACGUGCCAGCCGCCGCAGUAA
RNAcentral lists this ribosomal RNA (500 nucleotides) under uncultured bacterium. RNAcentral describes it as "partial 16S ribosomal RNA". It matches the Rfam family "Bacterial small subunit ribosomal RNA", at positions 30 to 523 of the family's 1533-position model. The record is from RNAcentral.